AUCCUAAAAUAUGUUUUCGUGUAAAAAAAUUUGGAAGUUUUGCAUUACAAACAAAUAUAAAUUAUUAAACAUUUAUAGUAGAGGCGAGUACGAGUAUUACUGUUACUCAUUAUAUGUCAUAGAAAUAUGAAAAUUUAGCCGAAAGUAAUUUGUUUACUUUGACGAGACAAGUGCGAUCGAUUAAUCGUAUAUAAUAUUAUUAAAAAUCGAUAACUGUUAAAUAAAGGGAACGCAACGUCGAACAUCGAGUAUACGAUGGAUAAAUAUUUUUACGCGAGCAUCUUCGAAUUUCUUAAAAUUUCUCUUAACUCAAUGAAAAUCAAUCUAUCGAUCACCGAUAAUUCUUGAUAAAUGUUAGAAAAUAGAAGAUAAAAAGUUAAUCAAAGUAUAGAAUGACAGAUGAUAACGUAAACUUUUCGUUCAAUUGGAAAGAUAAAAAUAACUGCAUUAGGAUGUAUAAUAAAAAUCAUGACAAAGUAUACAAUAACGCGACAACAUUAAAUCUGAAAUAUUCUAGUGAUUUCAGUCAAAGUGAUCCUACCGAAAAUCCAUCAAUCGUGGAUUUAGGUGGACAAUUUCAUGAAAAAUUAAAAAGCUCAUCUUCCGGGUCAGAGUUUCGUUUCAUUAAUCCGGCUAUUUACGUUGAAUCUUUAAAUACCGAAGACAACGAGAAAGAAACUACCACAAAUAUCAGAAUAGGCAUUAAUCAUACAAACAACAAUACCAAAAUAUUAAAUAAUGGUGAUGCAAACGAUUGCAGAUUCGUUGAAUUUGAUAGCGGUGAUGGAAUUAAAAAAACAACCGAUAUGUUAUCUGAUUUGUCCUUGAAAAAAGCAAUAGUCUCUUCGAGGGGUGAUCUUGCUACCGAUGACAUUUCCUCACCGGAAACUUAUCGGUGUUACUUUUCUACGUCAAGCACAGCCUCAUCCGUUGGCGCAUGUUCUGCUCGUCAUUCCGAAUCUAUUGUUAAUGUAAAACCAGUUUCUCAUCGGGUUCAAAGACGAUGUAAAAUUGUAAAUGAUGAAAUUAUUAAAAGAGAUCAGCGAAGACCAUUUUCGUCAAACGGCAUGGUCGUCGGCAAGGAAGUGGAUCAACCAGAAGCACAAGUUCAGAGAUAUAUUUUAAACGGUCAUCGAGUCGUACACAUUUCAACGACAUCGAUCUCAAGCUCGAAUAUUUCUCAAAUGGAUGACGAACCUUUAAUGGCCAGAAAGAGUGCUCACGAGGAAUGGUUGCGCAAAAAACAGAUUUAUCUUCAACGAAAGAAAGAAAAAGAAGAUAUGAUGAAAACUAAAGAACGGGAGGAAGAAGAGAGAUUAGAACGGGAAAGGGAAGAAAAGGAGAGGAGGGAAAGGGAGAAUUUUGUCAAGUGGACUGAAAGGAAAAAGAAAGAAGAAGCGGAUAAAAAAGCAGCCCUUGAAAAUGAAAUGAAAAUGGAAAAACAAUUGAAGGAAUUAGAGGAGAAGACGGUCAUCGCUAAGGCUUUGUGUCUGCGACAGUGGGCUCGUAAAAAAGAAGAAGAACAGAAGGCGCAAGAAAAAGCAUUGCAGUUGAAAGAACAACAAGAGGAGGAAGAACGGAAAAGGAGACAAGAGGAGAGUGUUAAAGCUUACGAAGAGUGGCGGGAAAAGUCGAGAAACCGACCUAAACCCGCAACGCAAGGAUUAUUUCCACAUCAAGCAGCAAAGCCAGGAUUUAUAAACCCAACUCCAUGGCAAAAGCUAAUCGAAGACGAUUCAAACGACGACCAAGAGGACAGUAAGAAGACCAAAAUAAAAAGAAGACAAAAUAAAAGAAAAAAUAAAUAAUUAAAAGAGAAUAUUAAGGACCCACUGAUUUCAACUUCGGUUAUCAUUUGUAAGAUUUACAGUUUUAGAUGCAAUCGUACUCUGUUUUGUUUUUAUAAGUAUUGUAUUUAAAACGUUGUAUGUCAGAGAAAGAGUCUUGAGGAAAAUGGCUAUAUUUGACGUUAACACAUAUAAUAUCAGCUUAAUAUUUUUAUUAAUAUUAUUUAAUAUGUUACAUCGGAUUUUGAUCGAUUGACGAUUAUUCAUCUACUGUCUCCGAGUUAUAUUUGUUUUAUUUAAUUAAUUAUAAAUUAUAAUUUUCAUUACAAAAUAUACGACAAAAGAGAUAUAUUUUGAAUGAAACCAAAUAGGAUGAAAAUAUAAUCGAAGGAAUACAUUGGUAGACUAGAGCGGCGCGAGAUCAUGAUAGUAUUAUUGGAUAUAAAUACUACAUGUUCCUAAUAAACUUGACACGAUAGAGAAUACAUUUGUUAAGAGUAUCAUCUGUGAAUAAAAAUACAGUGCUUAUAUUAGUA
RNAcentral lists this unclassified non-coding RNA (2323 nucleotides) under Polistes fuscatus (common paper wasp). Its description in RNAcentral is "reticulocyte-binding protein 2 homolog a-like, transcript variant X1". Lineage: Eukaryota; Metazoa; Arthropoda; Insecta; Hymenoptera; Vespidae. The record is from RNAcentral.